This 279-nucleotide unclassified non-coding RNA is filed under the name fungal sp. Its description in RNAcentral is "partial internal transcribed spacer region". The stretch from base 1 to 46 matches the Rfam family "Eukaryotic small subunit ribosomal RNA", at positions 1786 to 1831 of the family's 1831-position model. The record is from RNAcentral. Lineage: Eukaryota; Fungi.
AAGUCGUAACAAGGUUUCCGUAGGUGAACCUGCGGAAGGAUCAUUAACAAUUCCAUCAUAUACUUUUACCUUUGUGAACCGACCUCUGGCUGGGUUGGGCUUUAAUUAAUUAUAAGCCUCUUUAACGUCCCGCAGAGGUAAACAAGUAACUGUCGUGUAAGUAGGAAUCUGUGGAUGCCUACUUCAUUACUUUUACUUGCAAACAUAUAGACUAUUUUGUAUGACUAAGCUGUAAUUUUCUAACAAAUACAACUUUUAACAGUGGAUCUCUUGGCUCCU